This 526-nucleotide unclassified non-coding RNA is filed under the name uncultured Bartonella sp. RNAcentral's name for it is "partial 16S-23S ribosomal RNA intergenic spacer". The record is from RNAcentral. Lineage: Bacteria; Pseudomonadati; Pseudomonadota; Alphaproteobacteria; Hyphomicrobiales; Bartonellaceae.
UAAGGAUGAUCAAGAAUAGGGUUUUUUAAAAAUCUCCCUCCCUUUUUGAUCUGAUUAGACACAAGGUUUAAACAUGAGUUUGUUUAAACCGUGCAUAUGACGCUAACUCUCAAUGAGUCCCUUUCACAAAAGAAGAGACCCCUCUUUGUAACUAAAGAGGAUCCCCCCCUGUCUCUUUGAGGCCCCUACCUCUGUUGAGAGAAGUAUUUGAGGGCUUAGUGCUCAUGUGUUGACAAUAUAAAAGCAGACUAGCCGUCUUCGUUUCUCUUUCUUCAGAUGAUGAUCCCAAGCCUUCUGGCGAUCUCUUAAAGUGAAGCCUUAUGUCAUAAUCACUCCACAUUUUUUAAAGAAAAAUAUGUGUUUCAAGGUGACAUGGAUUUUAAAAAACAUGGAUUUACUUAAAACUUAUGGGUUUUAAAAAGGCUUUAAAAGGAAAUGACUAAAAAAAGAAAGCCACUUAAGAAAGCUUUUCCAGUGAUUUAAGAUGAUACCGGGGAAGGUUUUCCGGUUUGUACCGGAGGGCUUG